UACGGGGGGGGUAAGCGUUGUUCGGAAUUACUGGGCGUAAAGGGCUCGUAGGCGGCCAACUAAGUCGGACGUGAAAUCCCUCAGCCUAACUGGGGAACUGCGUCCGAUACUGGAUGGCUUGGAUUUGGGAGAGGGAUGCGGAAUUCCAGGUGUAGCGGUGAAAUGCGUAGAUAUCUGGAGGAACACCGGUGGCGAAGGCGGCAUCCUGGACCAAUAUUGACGCUGAGGAGCGAAAGCCAGGGGAGCAAACGGG
Molecule: ribosomal RNA, 253 nt
Filed under: uncultured bacterium
Lineage: Bacteria
Description: partial 16S ribosomal RNA
Rfam family: Bacterial small subunit ribosomal RNA
Source: RNAcentral